Molecule: long non-coding RNA, 8836 nt
Filed under: Homo sapiens (human)
Lineage: Eukaryota; Metazoa; Chordata; Mammalia; Primates; Hominidae
Description: HSALNT0024055
Source: RNAcentral
GCCAACAUUCAGCCUCCUCUGCCCAUCAGCCUUGCUGACACAGGGAGUGGAGAUUUGUGUAGAGAAAUGACUCAUUCAAAUAUGACUUAAUCUAAACCGUAAGUGUAUGAUUUAUUAAUGUGCCACCAGGCCUUACACCAAGAGAGCCAUUCCAGAGAAAAGUCCUUUUUCUCCUGAGAACAGUGCCAGCAGCUGGCUUCGUGACAUUCUGGAAGCCCCGUGCAAUGCUGUCAGGAGCAUAGGGAUUUUACUUUAUCUCCCUUGCUUAUGCUCCACAUAACUGAAAUAUCUCACUGGAAGCUGCAGCAGUGCUGGCCCCUUGCACAGCCAUAUGUGACCACUGCAGAACAAUCAGUUGGAGAGACAGUUUGGACUACAUGGAGGGUGGAGAUAAGGACAAAGUGAAGAAUACACAGGAACCAGUGCCUCCUCCUGGAACUAUGCAACUCCAAGCUGCUUCCAUCAGCUGCUAGGUCCAGUAGGGAGGGACCUACUGAGAGGUACUCAGACCCAGAACAUACUGUUUUCACUCCAAGAGUCUGAAUGUCUCUUUUCUGAGAAAGAUGAAGAAAAAGUACUUUUUUCAUGAAUUUAAUACUCAUUAAAGUCAAUAGUCGGAAAGCCUGGCUAAUUAGCAGACUUCUUCAGAGGACUUUAAAUAAUAUAGUUACUGUAUUUUUAUUAUAUUGAAAUCUCCAAAUAUAUAAAGUUAGAAUCUUCAAGGUGGGAGGAAGAGGAGAAAUUGGAUUUCUCUAAGCUCCCUAGUGAUUCUGAUGAUGACUCAUUUGGGGAAGUGCAGCAUUGAAUGGCCCUUCUAAAAUGAGGACAGCUAUUUUUUGGACUAAGCACCCCUCCCGACUCUCCCCAUUCCUCAUCCUCUCAGAGACUUCUCUCUCUCAGAUUGCCCCAUCUGUCUCAUGUAUUAUAAUCACUUCCCCUCUACUGGUUUCUUCUCAUACGUUUAACUUGUUCAAGUGCCUUCCAUCUUUAAAAACAGUCAAGGCACAGCCCUUGAUUUAACCAUAGGAAGCCCGCUCCCCACCACCCUGCCAUCAGCUCUCUUCUUCCUGUGUAGUGAGCACUGCUUCUUUGAGCUUCUGAAAGCUGUAGUCACUGCCUCUUGCUGGUAACUGAAAGCACAUUUCUAAGUUCGCAUAUUCCCUGACUUCUUGACAGCACUCAUGACUCGCCAUCUCCUUUUCUGGAACACUGUUUGCUUGGCUUUCACAAUAUCAUGCUUUUCUAGUUCUUUUUCCUGUUUUGGACACUGCUUUACAGAGAAUUAACAUUCCUCUUUUUCCCGCUGACCCUGAAUCAAGAAAGAAUCAUGUUUCUUUCUUUAUUUUUUAUAUCUUAACUUUUGAGGGGUAGAUUUUCAAGCAUACAUAAAAGUGAAGAGAACAGGAUAAUGAACUAGGUGUACACAUGACUGCAUCUUAUCAGUGCAAUACACACUCAUAUUACUUUUUCUAUACUUCAUCCAUUUUCUCCCUGCUCCCUGACUUGGAUCAAAUCCCAGACAUUACAUUAUUUAACCUGCAAAUAUUUCAUCAUAUAUAUGUGGGAAUAUAUAGAUCUCUAUCACUAUAUAUAGUGAGAAUUUCUUUCAAAGAAAAGAUAAUCACAAUAUUAUAAUCUCAUCAAAUGUAGUUGUUAUAAUUCCUUAAUGUCAGUCUAAUAACAAUCCUGUUUUCACAAUUUCUUCUCUUGUAGAUUUUUAAAAAUUAAUUUUGUUGAAUUGAAAUCUAAAUAAGAUACAGAGAUAAAGAUUCAUUGACAUGUCCCUUAAGUAUUUUAGUUUAUAGGCUGUCCUACUAUAUUCCCUGCCUCUUCUUGCAUUUUAUCUUGAUUCAGUUGAAAACUCUGGGUCAUUUGUCUUAUAAAGUUCAUGGGGUCUGCAAUUUGGUGAAGGUGUCCUUUUGGCAUUAUUUAACAUGCGUCUCUGUUCCUUGUAUUUUCUAGAAAUUAUUGGUUAUAUCUAGAGGUUUGAUCAGAUUUAGGUGAAAUUAUAAAAAGAUUCCGUCAUAGGUGAUUUUGUGAAGUUCCAUCAGAAGGUACCCAUCUGGUUUUCUCUCCUUUUGUGAUGCUAGCAGCCACUGAAUAUGGUAAUCUACUCCAAUCAUUAACUAAAUUUCUUUUCUGGAAUUAUUCCAAAAGAGAAACUUUUUUCAUCAUGCAUUUGGUUGUCCUGAGGUAUGAUUGUAUAGGAAAAACAGGAUAACCUACUGAUACUUUCUGUUUAAACUAGUAUUCAAAAUAAUAAAAGUAGUCCCCUAGUAUUAUCUAAAGAUUUCAAAAGACUUUUAAAAAAAUUAUUGAUGAUUUUAUGAGCUCAGGGAUUAAACAUAGUCAAUCUGUUUCAAUCCCUUGCAGUUAUUCCAAUUAAUAAUCAAAUUUUCCUGCCUUUGGCUUGCGGCAGCGUAUUCAUGUUGAAUUCUGGGUCACUUUGACAUGACUCCAGUUGUCUUUGAUGGUAUCCUUUUUGUGACAAAAUGUCCCAGGAUUAUAAUUUCCUGUCCCAUACUGGGAAACAGCCAGUUCUCCAAAGAGCUCUGGAACCAUUCAGUGAGAAAUGUAUUUAGAUGCAACAUUCUGGGUGCUAAGCAUGCCCAUUAACCUGAUCAAUCUCACGUCUUUCCUUUCUUUCAGCAUUGCCAGAAAACUCAUUUCUCAGUGACACCAUUGUAAUUACUCAUUUGAUUAUCCCGCAAUACACAUAUAAGAGUCUCAGGAAAACAGUACCAUCAGCAUUAUAUGAGCUAAUUAAAAAUGUGGUGUCCUGGACUCACGAAGCCAGAAUUGCUGAGGAGAUAGCCCGAGAAUCUGAAUUUUUAGCAGACAUUUUUUUAGCAUUUCUCUCAGGUACCUUACCCGCAGGAUCAUUUCUGUGAAUAUCCAUGAGGUGAAAAAGUCUGGGAAACACUGUCCUAGACAGGAAACGCCACGAAGUGUCUGGAUCAAAGAACAGACUAUUGCUCACAGAGCACCUUCAUAGCAUUGUUCCUCAUGCCCCCGUUGCCCAAGGGGAUGGCAGGUUGAGGACCAGAUGUACUUGCAUGUUCAGGGGAUGCAGCACAGAAGAGGAACUCCAAAAUUAUUAUUAUUAUUGUUAUUAUUAUUAUUUUUGAGAUGGAGUCUCGCUCUGUCGCCCAGCCUGGAGUGCAGUGGCGUGAUCUCGGCUCACUGCAAGCUCCGCCUCCCGGGUUCACGCCAUUCUCCUGCCUCAGCCUCCCGAGUAGCUGGGACUACAGGCACGCACCGCCACGCCCUGUUAAUUUUUUUUGUAUUUUUUUUUAGUAGAGACAGGGUUUCACCGUGUUAGCCAGGAUGGUCUUGAUCUCCUGACCUCGUGAUCCACCCGCCUCGGCCUCCCAAAGUGCUGGGAUUACAGGCGUGAGCCACCGCGCCCGGCCGAACUCCAAAAUUAUUAAACUCUGAGCGUCUGCAGGUGACUGACACAUCUGCGCUUCCUUUCUUCCAGGGUGUGGGGAAGAGCGAGAAAAAGAUUUCCGCUCUGGAAGGUAAACAAAUACUCUCUGGAGAGAGAAGAGGAAUGUCCCUAGCAGAUGUCUCCAGAGAAGACAAGACUUUAAAUUCCGCCAGGGAAAUAUACAAUGUCUAACUUCUAAGGCACAUUUGCCAUUCAAUCAUGCUUUAACCCACGUUGCCAGAAAUUUUUGCUCACUAGGUUUUGACUGUACAGGAAUGUGAAAAUAUUCAUGAAGAGUUGUUUUCCAAUGCUAAAGAAUUGAUGUGUUUUAACAGUUGAAUUAAUUGUAUUGAUUAUGAUCACACCUACUUUUUAUAUAUCUUCAUUUCUAACGUUUCUGUACAAUCCUGCCUUUCCACCUGAUAUAGUUAGGCCUUGUGUCAUCAACCAAAUCUCAUCUUGAAUUGUAAUCGCCAUAAUCCCCACGUAUUUAGGGAGAGACCUGGAGGGAGGUGUUUGGAUCAUGGGGGCGGUUUCCCGCAUGCUGUUCUCAUGACCAUGAGAGUAAGUUCUCAAGAGAUCUGAUGGUUUUAUAAGCGUCUGUCAUUUCCACUGCUUGCACUUCUGUGUCCUGCCACCUUGUGAAGAAGGACGUGGUUGCUUCCCCUUCCACCAUGAUUGUGUUUCCUGAGGCCUCCCCAGCCUUGCAGAGCUGUGAGUCAAUUAAACCUCUUUCCUUUAUAAAUUACUCAGUCUCUGUAUUCCUCUGCAGCAGUGUGAGAACAGACUAAUACAUCACCACUUUAUUUACUUUACUCUCUCCCCAUACCGAGGUUUUCUACAUUUUCUUUCUAGGUCUCUACAGUUUCUGCAAAGAUCCUUUAUGGAACUCUUAGGGAAGCUGGGAUGUAUAAUAAAUAAAGGGCUCUUUUCUUUGAGUCCCACACCCAUUUUCUGUGUAUAAAAAUCUUCAACUCCACUUUUGUCUGUUCUAUUUAAAUGUGUGCACAUUUCCUUCUAAUGUUGUAUAUGAAAAAGAGACACCUCUUAGCAGUCUUUCAUAGAGCAAAAUUUUUUACUUUGAUAAAAUCUAAUUUAUCAAUAUUUUUAAAUUUUAUGGAUCAAUCAUGCUUUUGAGGUUGAAUUUAAGAAUGCUUUGCCUAGCCCUAGAUCCCAAGUAUCUUUUAAAAAUUAUUUUUCUAAAUGCAUUAUUUAUGUUUUACACUUAAGUCUAUAAUCCAUUUUGAGUCCAUGUGUAAGAUUUAGGUUAAGGUCAAGAUUUAUCUGUUUUUGUUGUUUUCUCUAUAAAUGUCAAUUGCUCCAGCACUAUUUGUUUAAAAGCCAAUCUUUCCUCCGCUGAGUUCUUCCUAUAAGUUUGUCAAAAGUCAAUUUGGCAUCUUUGUAUAAGUUUAUUUCUGGAUUCUCUAUUCUGUUUUAUUGAUCACUGCAUCUAUCCCUCUUGAUUAGCUAGAUAAUAAAUCCUACAAUAAGGUAGAAUUCUUCCCACUUUAUUCAUAUUCAAAAUAUUUUAAAGCUAUUCUAGUUUCUUUUUAUUUCCAUAUAUAUUUUAGGAUAAUCUUAUCUAUAUUUACAACAUAUGUUGCUAGGAUUUUGAUAGAAUUUGUUUUAAAUUUGUGUAUCAAUGUAGGGAAGACCUGACAUCUUUACUAUUACGUUGAUCUUCCAAUCAAUGAAUAUGGUAUAUCUCUCAGUUUAUAGCUAUUGUCUUUAAUUUAUUUCAUCAUGGUUUUUAGUUUUCAGCAGAGAAGCUUUAUACAUGUUUUGUUAUACAUGUAUAACAAAAGAAGCCUUAUACACUGACAUUUUAUAUUUUGAACAAUUGUAAAUGGUAUUGUUUAAAAAUUUUGUUGUCUAUGAUAGAAAUAAAAUUGAUUUUUGUAGGUUUAUCUUGUAACCUAUGACUUGCUGAGCUCGCUCAUUAGUUUUUUUAUUGUGAUAAAAUAUACAUGAGAUAAAUUUCAUCAUUAUAAUCAUUAAGUUUAGACAUCAAUUGCAUUAAGUACAUAAAUGCCUUAUGCAACCAUCAUCUCUAUCCAUCUCCAGACCCUUUGCAUCACCCUAAAAUGAAACUCUGUGCCCAUUAAACAAUAACUCCCCAUUCUGCCCUCACCCCAGCCCUUGGUAAUUACCAUCCUACCUUUUAUCUCUAUAAAUUUAACCAUCCCAGGUAACUCAUAUAAGUGGAAUCAUGCAGUGUUUGUCCUUUUGUAACUGGUUUAUUUCACUUAGCAUGAUGUCUUCAAGGUUUGCCUAUGUCAUAGCAUGUGUCAGAAUUUCAUCCCUUUUUAAACUUAAAUAAUAUUCCACUGUAGGCAUAUGCCACAUUUUGUUUAUUUGUUCAUCUGUUGAUGGGCAUUUGGGUUGUUUCCACCUUUUGGCUACUGUGAAUAAUGCUGCUGUGAUCAUGGGUAUGCAACUGUCUCCUGGAGUCCCUGCUAUCAAUUCUUGUGGGUAUAUACCCAGAAGUGGAAUUGUUGCAACAUAUAGUAAUUCUAUGUUUAAUUUUUUGAGGACCUGCCAUAAUGUUUUCCACAGUAGCUACAUUGUCUUAUAUUCCCAUUAAGAGUUCCAAUUUCCUCACAUCUUCACCAAUACUUAUUGUUUUCUGUUUUUUUAAAUAAUAGCCAUCAUAAUAAAAGUAACAUGGUAUCUCAUUGUGGUUUUAACUGCAUUUCCCUUUUUACUGGAUUGUUUGUAAUAUUGCUGUAAUUGAGUUGUAGGAGUUUUUAAAUAUGUUCUGAAUAAUUAAUUUCUUAUCAGAUAUGUCAUUUGCAAAUAUUUUCUGCCAUUCUCUGGGUUGUCAUUUCACUCUCUUGAUAGUGUCCUUUGAUGCACAGAAGUUUUGAAAUUUGAUAAAGUUUAAUUUGCGUAUGUAUUUAUUUUGUUGCUUAUGCUUUUGGUGUCAUAUCCAAGAAAUUAUUGCCAAAUUCAGUGUCAUGAAGAUUUUCCCCUGUGUUUUCCUCUAAGAGUAUUAUAGUUUUAACUCUUGCACUUAGAUUGAUCCGCUUUGAGUUAAUUUUAGUAUAUGGGGUAAGACAAGGGCUCAAAUUUGUUCUUUUGUUUGAAGAUUCUAGGUCAUUUGUGAUCUUUAGGAUUUUCUAUGUAGACAUUAAUGUCAUCUUCAAAUAUGAACAGUUUAUUUCUUCCUUUUGUAUAUGUAUGAAUUUACUUUCCUUUUCUUGCCUUAUUGCACUGGCUAGAGUUUUCAGUACUAUGAUGAAUAAAAUCAGUGAGAGCAGACACCCUUGCUUUGUUUCUAAUCUUAGGAGGAAAGCUUUCAGUCUUUCAUCAUUAGGUAUACUGUUAGUUGUAGGCUUAUUAUAGAUGCUCUUUAUCAGGUUGAGGCAGUUUCCUCCUUGGUUAAGACUUUCUAUUUUUCAUUUUCAGUUAUGACCAGGCAUGUUCAUAACUGCUCAUCAAAACUUUGAAUUAGUGGCUGCUUUAACAUCCUUCUCAGACAAUUCUAACAUCUGUUUUGUUGGUGGUGGCAUCUAUCAAUUGUCUUUUUCAUUCUGUUUGAGAUCUUCCUUGCGUUUGGUAUGAUUUUUUUAAAUAUUAUGUCAUGAAACUGCAUCUUAUUUAAAUCUUCUGUUUUAGUUGGCUAUGUCUGACAUCACUUCCCCAGGGGAAGGUGUUGUUACUGCUAGUGGAGGGUGAGAAUUAUGGCUCUCCACUGACAUUGUGGUGGGAUUGGUCCCAUUACCACUGGGCAGGGUUGAAAGUCCUGACUUUCUGCUAGGCCUUCUCUGACUUCAUCGCAGCAGGAGGAAAAGAUGCCUCUGGAGUUGAAGUCAGGUUGCACUGACACUGUGUGUGUAUGGAGGUAGGCUGGGGUGAAAGUGGAGACUCAUUACCACAUGGUGAGUAGUUUCCAGCUCUCUAUUUGGCCUUCUCUGAUACCACCCAGACAGGGACAUUGGGGAUACCUCAUUACAGCCUAGUGAGGGUCAAACUCUAGGCUCCCCACUCAGUCUUUGCUAUCAUGGACACUGUAGGACCAUAGUUUUUUCUGUGCUGUUUGCUUGAUGUGUCUUCCUUGGACCCUGAGUUCCAUAGCUGGUCUGCAUUCCUCUCUCCACCUUUAAGACGUCUUCUUAUGUUUAUUUCAUAUUUAACAUCCAGGGUGGUAAUUAGAGGGAAGAAUAGAGGGAAAAGUACAGUUGCACUUUGUUGUUCAAAGAGCAGUUUUGAACUGCACAGACCCAUUUCUCUGAGCACACCCAGGGAUGAUUGUACUUGUAUAAAAUUUUUUUCCUGGAUGCAGAAUUCUCAAUUGACUGUGAAAGUUCAUAACAAAGAAAACAGUGGGGAAGACAAAUCUGGAAAUGAGGAAAAUAAAAAUUAAAUAGUGAGACCACCCAUGGAGCUUGUGGCAAAGCCUGAAUUGAAUCCGCUGUAUCUUAAGAUUGUGCCUCAUUCUAAAUUUAAGUCACCCUUCUCAUUAUGAAAGUGUCACAACUUCUCAGUAGGUGAGGAGACAGUCUAAAUUUGAGAAAAGAAAGUUACAACAAAGGUUUUGAGCAAGCUGCUAAGUGGAUUUAUUCAUGUUUGAGAAAUCAAAUAUAUGGUUAAUGAGCUCUUUAACUAGAAGCCAACACUAGGGAGGAGUAGACAGAAGUCACGGGGAGGGAGCCCCCGGACAUUUCAAAAGACUUUGCCCUGCAACAUCUCCUCCACAUUUAAGCUUUUAGGUUAUUGUAGCCACAUCACAAGCAUGUUACCUACCCAGAUAUUGUCUGCGCAUCAUUCCCAAAAGCUUCCCUGGGUCUUCAUAAUAUUAAUGAGAUUCUCCCCCAGGUUAGACCCCUUUGGCUUGAGUCAGAAACAGAAUUAAUCCGGGGGACAAUCCAGCAGCACCCAUCUCUGGGUUGCAGAAAUAUCUGAGGUGACCAGGCAGUGUUUGGAGUCCCCUCAGUUAGCUAACAAAGUGAGUUCACAGCUUCCAAGACCCCAGGCUUUCCAGGCUAAUAAAGAGCUGAGGUUAUAGGCUCUCCUUAUCAAACGCUCUUUGGCAGCUGCCAUAACCAUUCCAAGUCUAGUCCUAGAAUAGAAAUGACGCGGUUUCAGGAGCUGACAGAUGGAACUUUAAGCCUUCCUUCCUGCCACAUCUGAAGUUCUUUUUUAAAAAAAUAGAAAACCAUGACAAUAAACACUCCUUGAAUGCCCUGUGGAAAAGUGUACUCCUCAGAAUUCACUAAAGUGGGGUGAAGCAGUGGGUUGUGGUGCUGAGAAAACAUCUCUUCCCCUCGGCAGUAUAUUGGAAUCUCAUAGAAACUUCUGUGGCUGGGAAGCAAACAUGCUCUCUGCCCCAUUGCUCUUAUUCAUCUUUAGACCUGAUAAUACAGUUUGAACUUCAAGUUGCACUUUAAAUGGCAUGCAUUUUUA